Molecule: long non-coding RNA, 1320 nt
Organism: Oncorhynchus nerka (sockeye salmon)
Lineage: Eukaryota; Metazoa; Chordata; Actinopteri; Salmoniformes; Salmonidae
Exons: 4
Source: RefSeq, a predicted model, not a curated record
CUGUUCGUUCGGGUCAUACCAGUGAGAGUGGGUUAAGAAUUGUCAAUGUGGUUUGAAGUGGACAAUGGUACUCCCCAGGGAAGUGAGACAAGUGCAGCUCCCGCUGAGUCGAAUUACUGAGGUUUUUUGGGGGAAGCGACUUCUGCUCCGGUGGCGUUAAUACACCAUUAACAUUGGAUGCCAACAGCUGUUAAACCCCAUCGAAGAAGAUUGGAAAUACUUUUUGACUGACACAUGGGCAACGCGUUGUGGCUGACCAAAAACUAUACUAAUGACGACAUGGUCCUGCAAGCUCAGGAGACUGCUGGGGGGAGGACAGCUCAUAAUAAUGGCUGCAAUGAAGUGAAUGGAAUGGUAUCAAACACUUUUUCGAUACCUUUCCAUUAAUUCCGUUCCAGCCAUUACUAUUACCAAAUAAGGUGCGACCAACCUCGUGACCCUGAAAGUAUUUCUCCCACCACCAGUUUCCCGAGUGCAGAUACGAAAGACGACCUGAUCCUGAGACUGAUUCUCCCACCACAAGUAACGAGUUGGAAAGAAGACUGCCCGCCCAAGCUUUGAUGAGGCCUGAAAGUCAUAUUGUACCCUAAGUAUACAUGUGGAAUACUGAAUACGAUUUAAUAUGCAACACUGUAAAACAGGAUGUGGGAAGUAACGAAUUACAAAUACUAUUGUUACUGUAAUUGAGUAGCUCUUCAAAGUACUAUUUUUCAAUGUCAGUCAUUUUACUUCUACUUGAGUAAACCACGCACAAAGUGGCUGGACUCAAAUCAAUGCAGAUUAACACCCGUCACAUGCCAAUGGACUGUAUAUGAGUACUGCACAUUCUGAGCAAAAGGAAAGGCCACAAUUUGUGUAUGUGUGAGUGUGUGGGCUUGUGCAAGAGUGUGAUGAGUGCCUUGAUUAUUGUUCAACUUUUUAUAAUCAUAUCAGGUUGCAACCAAUAUGGCUGAAUAUCUUCGCCAGGCGACCAAAAGAGGAACCGAACCCUUUGCUCUGAUUCUCGGGGACAAUCACCCCUACUCCAUGGCAUUCACUAUCAUGACUGAGCAGGCUCUGGAGCAGAGGACAUUAUGUUUAGCUGUUUAACAAGAAUUGAUAUGGAAAAUGCAUACCUGGUAGGGUUUUGGGGGAGUAAAGGGUAAAGUGUUUACUUUUCUUCACCCCCUUUCCUCAGCUUUAAUUGCUGGGGCUCCUGUGAUUUUUGAAAUUAUGGAUUGUGCUAAAGUUUUUAUUUGUGUGUUCCUUAUUUGUUUAUCUUUUGCAUGACUUCAUUUUGGAGCUGAAAUGAAUCAUUCAAAAUACACAUUUUGUAUUUUA